UCUUAUCUUUGACUUAGGAGGUCCUCCUUAUUCUCCUAAAUGUAAUAAUUAGAUUUGAUAUCAGUCAGAUACGUGUGUGUGUGGUGUUCAAAAAGUAAUGGGAAUUGUAAAAUUUAAAAUUUCACGGGUUUGGGGAGUCCAAUUGUCAAAUAUUUUUUAUUAUUCUAUUGCACAAACAAAUUUAAAUAAGACAUAAAAGGGCUCUUACAUGUCAUCGAAUCGUACUGAACGGGUAGCUGCCUUCAAUUCAUAAAAUUCAACAUUAUCCGAUCUUCCAGCAACUUGGACUUCAGUAGAAAGUAAAUCCAAAUCUUCGAUCGGAAAAUAUUCAAGAUCGAAAUCCAUGUUUAUGCCGGACUCAGCCAUAAUCGCAGUUAAAUAUAUUUUAGGCAGGUCGAACUUGGGGUAAAUGGAAAAGUUCAAGCUUCAUUCGUUCAUUAAUUAAUGCAAAUUGAUUGCUGGCAGCUUGUGGUGAAUUGGUGAGUUUUCUUCAAAAUACAUUUAAUGUUGUGCAAUAUCUUUUCAUUUCACUCUUCGUUGUUUUAUUUGUUUGGCAGCUUAAUUAAGAAGAGCUUGAAACUCGGUCGUUGGCAAUCGGCAAUUAAUUCCAAUAAAAUCAACUUGAAUGUCUUGUUCAACGCUGUGAUAGUGCUCUACAAUAUAUAUACAUACAUAUGUACUACUCAUACAAAUCACUAACACAUAUGUAACCACGUGUACUUAACCAGCUGAUUACUUGCUAGUAGCUUUUACCGAUCGCUAGUUUUAGAGUUUGUGCCUCUUUUGUUGCCUUUAUCAUGUUUGUAGAAAAGCAAUUUUUUGGAUAGAUACCGUGCAAAUGUUAGUUUGUUUGUUUUUUUAUUCACAAGUUUAAAGUAGUUAUUUUGCCUCCCGUAAGAUAAACGUUGAUAUUUUGGCGGCCAUCUUUAAUUCUAUUUCAUUUUUAUUAUACAUUAAUUUAACACGAUCACUCUUCGUUGCUUUUCGUACAAACACAAAUUCAAUAUUAACACAUUCAUAAGCCUAUUAGUAUCAUUUCGAACUAUAUAUGUGAAAGCUAUUUGCCAAGUUGAGUGUGCGAGCGUAAUAUUGGCUGUCGCAACCAAUUCAAACUCUUGAGUUUAUGUCGCGAACGAAAUAAUUAAACAAGCACCACCGUUUUUUUACAAAUACUAAAAGAUUUUGAAAAAUUUACUAUUUAAUGCUGACGUUCUUUUAGUUUUUAGCAAUUGCAUGUAUCAACUUUUAAGCUUAAUUGUAGAACUUCACCACUUAGUGCCAACCGUUCGUCUACCUACUAGCGACACCGGGGAAAAAGAUAAAGCAGUGGGAGAGUAUUUACUCAUAGCAGUCGUACAGUUAAAGAAAUGGUUUCGGACGUAGCUUUGAAUGUACUAUGUAACUCACCUCAGUUAGUGGUGGAUACAAAAACGAUAAUUGUAUGGACAAUUUUCGCAAAAAUCUCAUCUAAAGUUUCGACGUGUUCUGUAGUUUUGGAAAUCCUCUAUCUGUCAGGCACCAAGUACUAACAUACUUGUUAAGAAACUACAAUUUACAAAAGUAUACAAUAUGUAUAAACAUGUUUUUUUAAACAGCUACGUUUAGUGAAUCCAUUUGUCAAUAUUGCCAUAUAACUAAUUAUAUGUAUAACUUUAUUUAUAACCUUUUUUAUGACAUUUACCUUUUUUGUGUUGCCUUAAGGUGGACAGAAGAGCUUGACCAGAAGAUGUUAUAACGGUAGUGUCAAUUUCCUUAGUUAUGCUUUUGUAAUUGACGUACAUUAAUUUUAAAGCACUCAUCAUAACUUCGACAAAUAGAUGUCGCGUCCAGUGAAAAUAGGAAGAGAUAAGAAGAAUGAACAAUAGAUUUGUUAAUUAUUACAAUUGUAUUAUUACAUUGUUAUUGUUUUUCUCAACUAAAGAGAUAGAUAUAAGAUAAGAUAUAUAUGGAAUAUAUUGUGUAUAUGACAGAAAUAUCAACCUAAUGGACCAAAACCAUUAUAUUUAUAUAUUCGGGGUAUGGGGGCUAGAACGUCGAGAUCGAUUU
Long non-coding RNA from Zeugodacus cucurbitae (melon fly), 2046 nucleotides. RefSeq lists it as uncharacterized. The transcript has 3 exons. NCBI's taxonomy places the organism in Eukaryota, Metazoa, Arthropoda, Insecta, Diptera, Tephritidae. The record is from RefSeq and is a predicted model, not a curated record.